This 565-nucleotide ribosomal RNA is filed under the name uncultured bacterium. RNAcentral's name for it is "bacterial SSU rRNA". It matches the Rfam family "Bacterial small subunit ribosomal RNA", at positions 337 to 916 of the family's 1533-position model. The record is from RNAcentral.
UCCUACGGGAGGCAGCAGUGGGGAAUUUUCCGCAAUGGGCGAAAGCCUGACGGAGCAACGCCGCGUGAGGGAUGAAGGCCUCUGGGCUGUAAACCUCUUUUAUCAAGGAAGAAGAUCUGACGGUACUUGAUGAAUAAGCCACGGCUAAUUCCGUGCCAGCAGCCGCGGUAAUACGGGAGUGGCAAGCGUUAUCCGGAAUUAUUGGGCGUAAAGCGUCCGCAGGCGGCCCAACAAGUCUGCUGUUAAAAAGUGGAGCUCAACUCCAUCAUGGCAGUGGAAACUGUUGGGCUAGAGUGUGGUAGGGGCAGAGGGAAUUCCCGGUGUAGCGGUGAAAUGCGUAGAUAUCGGGAAGAACACCAGUGGCGAAGGCGCUCUGCUGGGCCAUCACUGACGCUCAUGGACGAAAGCCAGGGGAGCGAAAGGGAUUAGAUACCCCUGUAGUCCUGGCCGUAAACGAUGAACACUAGGUGUCGGGGGAAUCGACCCCUCCGGUGUCGUAGCCAACGCGUUAAGUGUUCCGCCUGGGGAGUACGCACGCAAGUGUGAAACUCAAAUGAAUUGACGG